RNAcentral lists this transfer RNA (74 nucleotides) under Candidatus Nealsonbacteria bacterium CG08_land_8_20_14_0_20_36_22. Its description in RNAcentral is "tRNA-Arg". It matches the Rfam family "tRNA". From Rfam's summary of the family: Transfer RNA (tRNA) molecules are approximately 80 nucleotides in length. Their secondary structure includes four short double-helical elements and three loops (D, anti-codon, and T loops). Lineage: Bacteria; Candidatus Nealsoniibacteriota. The record is from RNAcentral.
GUCCCCGUGGCUCAACUGGAUAGAGCGAAGGGUUUCUAACCCUUAGGUUGCAGGUUCGACUCCUGCCGGGGGCA